UGGGGAAUUUUGGACAAUGGGCGCAAGCCUGAUCCAGCCAUGCCGCGUGCGGGAAGAAGGCCUUCGGGUUGUAAACCGCUUUUGUCAGGGAAGAAAUCUUCUGAGUUAAUACCUCGGGAGGAUGACGGUACCUGAAGAAUAAGCACCGGCUAACUACGUGCCAGCAGCCGCGGUAAUACGUAGGGUGCAAGCGUUAAUCGGAAUUACUGGGCGUAAAGCGUGCGCAGGCGGUUUUGUAAGACAGAGGUGAAAUCCCCGGGCUCAACCUGGGAACUGCCUUUGUGACUGCAAGGCUUGAGUGCGGCAGAGGGGGGAUGGAAUUCCGCGUGUAGCAGUGAGAUGCGUAGAUAUGCGGAGGAACACCGAUGGCGAAGGCAAUCCCCUGGGCCUGCACUGACGCUCAUGCACGAAAGCGUGGGGAGCAAACAGGAUUAGAUACCCCUGGUAGUCCACGCCCUAAACGAUGUCAACUGGUUGUUGGGAAGGUUCCUUCUCAGUAACGUAGCUAACGCGUGAAGUUGACCGCCUGGGGAGUACGGCCGCAAGGUUGAAACUCAAAUGAAUUGAC
This 568-nucleotide ribosomal RNA is filed under the name uncultured bacterium. RNAcentral's name for it is "partial 16S ribosomal RNA". It matches the Rfam family "Bacterial small subunit ribosomal RNA", at positions 355 to 914 of the family's 1533-position model. The record is from RNAcentral.